This 1381-nucleotide long non-coding RNA is filed under the name Amphibalanus amphitrite. Its description in RNAcentral is "uncharacterized LOC122366973, transcript variant X4". The record is from RNAcentral. Lineage: Eukaryota; Metazoa; Arthropoda; Thecostraca; Balanomorpha; Balanidae.
GCCAGGUGAGCCGCCGCCGUCUUGACCAGUCGCCGGAGCCGGCUCUCCGGCGUUUUCACUUUCAUUCGGCCGGUGAGUGCUGCCGCCUGCCGGCACGGUGGUCAACUAGUGCUAGGUGCCUGGUCAGUCGUUCGAGUCUCCCCGGGGUGAGGGGGUCGCCGCGCGGAGUGUGGGCAGUGUUUGCGGACGCGGCCGCGAGUCGGGUAUGAGUGUUGACCUCUGAGUGACGUCACGCGAAGUGCUACACAGCGCCGGCCAGUGAGCCACCUGGGAGUGCGCGCGGCGGCCUCCGUCAGUCGGCGGCGGCACCAUGCGCUGGUACGUGACCGCUGUGGCGCUCUGCGCCUUGUUACCGGCCGCGGCGCGCGCCUGUGAGUGCUGCGCCAGGAACGCCACGGCGGCAGAGUGCGGCGCCGACGCGCGGCUGGAGGCGCGCCGGGAUUGUGCCUGCUGCUCUGUGUGUGCCGUGCAGAAGGGCGGCGCGUGCGAUGACUCGGACCGGCCGUGCCAGGAGGGACUCGAGUGCAGCAGUCAGGGGGUGUGCACAGAUCCCGAAAGAAGAUAACAGCUUGUUUUCUUCACCGCCACCAGUCUACCUGCUCUCUGCACACUCGGCAGAGCGCGGCAGGGCACCCCACGGAGCUGCACUAGUCACAUCCGGGCCCCACGCCGGUCGACGGCCGAUGCGCCGCUGGGAGGCCUGCGGCGCGGACGACGGAUGCGGCAGUUGGUCAAGACACGGCAGCCUACUCGAGGUGCUUCUCGCCUGGAGGACGCAGGCGAAUCGCGUUAUCCGAGCUGUGCCUCGUCAUGGUGCGAUGAGCCUUAAUAGACUAAUGCAUAUUCUUCCUUUGGCUGUAAUUCAUUUGCUGCUGCCCGCUGGGCUAAGGAGUAACUCUGGGCGCCUACUUUGGGCAGACGCUCGUCCAGUGCCGCUCUUCGUUUGCCGCACAUAUCUUUAUUUAUUCUUUGUUACAAUUCCGUCUUUGGUCAUUUUUUUUUACCAUGGGGGCACUUGAAAGUUUUGUUUUUAAAUCUGUGGACAUUGAACCUGGAAUCGGUUUUAUGUCGGAUUUCGGUUUUGUUUUUGCACUGUGGAAAUAUCUCGUUCAAUAUUUUUAAGAUAGGGCGUGCUAAAACUUUUAGUCUCAUUACUCCUCUGUGCAUCUAAAUUCUAAAGUACUAUAAUGUGCAUCUCAAGUGUUUGGUGCUGUACUGUUAUUAUUUAUGGUUAAUCCAGUGCUGUACUGUUAUUAUUUAUGGUUAAUCCAGUUUUUAUUCGAUUGAAUCGUUGUGUGUAGUGCAUGACAUCCGCGUACCGCCUGUAGCAGUGUUAUAUAUUUUCAUUUAUGCUGGAAAAUAAUAACUUUCUUGUUCAUUG